UCCCUAGUAGCUCAGAUGGUAAAGCAUCUGCCUGCAAUGCAGGAGACCCAGGUUCAAUCCCUGGGUCGGGAA
RNAcentral lists this transfer RNA (72 nucleotides) under Odocoileus virginianus texanus. It matches the Rfam family "tRNA". Rfam says of the family: Transfer RNA (tRNA) molecules are approximately 80 nucleotides in length. RNAcentral also lists the same sequence under 7 other names. The record is from Rfam by way of RNAcentral. Lineage: Eukaryota; Metazoa; Chordata; Mammalia; Artiodactyla; Cervidae.